GGAUGGAUUUGCAUUUGGCUGCAUAGCACGUUCCAACCACCAGUGAGUCACACAAACAGCUUGCACGUGGUUUGUAAAGGACAGCACUGAUGGUCCCCAGGCUUGGAAUGGACACUUCUGCAGACUUCAUCACACUCACCAUCAUUGCUCAAGAUCCCUUCCUUGCAAAGAUAUCAGAGUAGCUUUAAAAAGGACCACCGCUUAUGUGGAAAAUGAGGACCAUGUGUUUGUUGGAGUUUGAAAUGAGUCAUCAUUAUCUAUCAACAUUGAAAAUUAUGGUCAGUCUCAACAUGUGUGGAACACACACACAGAACGUAUUGAAGAUUCUUAUUAAAGAUUUCCGAAGGGUGGACACCAGGAGACAAAGGUGAGAUGUCACGGUCGCCUGACGGGCCGAGGCCGCCCUGCCGCUGGGGAUCCGCACUGAGGCCCUGCUGCCCCGGAGCCGCGUUCCCGCAAGCCCUGAGGAAAGGGGUGGAGUUCUUCCCGGAGGCCGAGGCCGGAGGAGACCGAGACCGGAAGAUGACAGCCUUGGAAGGAGGGGUGGUGUCCGUGGCAUCGGGGUCAAAGGCCGGCGUGGACGGUGGUACUGCAGGGGCCCUGCCCACCAGAGUGGGGGCGACUGGAGGCGCCGUGGUGGGAAGGCUCGAAAGACAGGGGCCCUGGGAAGGGGCUCUCUGCUGCUGCCGCCCGCAGGGCUCCGCAGUGUGGGCCGCCAGGUGGAGUUCCCGCGCCAUGGAAACUGGCCUUAAAGGAGGAAGAAGGUCAGCAGGGACAGGCAGAGGGCAGCUGGGGGUUGUGAGUGUCAUGGAGGAGGGUGGAGGGACAGGUGGGAUCAGAGGUCCAGCACCCAUGUCAGGGAAGGAGUCAGCAGUGGGGAGAGGAACCGGGAUGUGGAAAGGGUGA
This 906-nucleotide long non-coding RNA is filed under the name Microcebus murinus (gray mouse lemur). Its description in RNAcentral is "lncRNA (ENSMICG00000048497.1)". The record is from RNAcentral. Lineage: Eukaryota; Metazoa; Chordata; Mammalia; Primates; Cheirogaleidae.